Ribosomal RNA from Telopea speciosissima, 3400 nucleotides. The record is from RefSeq and is a predicted model, not a curated record. NCBI's taxonomy places the organism in Eukaryota, Viridiplantae, Streptophyta, Magnoliopsida, Proteales, Proteaceae.
CGACCUCAGGUCAGGCAGGGCUACCCCCUGAGUUUAAGCAUAUCAAUAAUCGGAGGAGAAGAAACUUACGAGGAUUCCCCUAAUAACGAUGAGCGAACUGAGACAAGCCCAACUUGAGAAUCAGACGGCCUCGUCCUUUGAAUUAUAGUCUGUAGAAGCGUCCUCAGUAGCGGACCAGGCCCAAAUCCCCUGAAGGGGGCACCGGAGAGGGUGAGAGCCCCGUCAUACCCAGACCCUAUCGCACCACGAGGCACUAUUGACGAGUCAGGUUAUUUGGGAAUGUAACCCCAAUCGGGUGGUAAAUUCUGUCCAAGGCUAAAUAUGGGCGAGAGACCGAUAGCAAACAAGUACCACGAGGGAAAGAUGAAAAGGACUUUGAAAAGAGAGUCAAAUAGUGCUUGAAAUUGGUGGGAGGCAAGCAGAUGGGGGCUAGUGAUGUGCCUCGAUCGGAUGCAGAAUGGUGUACAGCUGGUCCACCGCCCGACUCAAGGCAUGGACUAAUGUGGAUUUUGGCGGCUCCCCAAGCCCGGGUUGUCGUGUUAUACCCGAGGAGAUGUUGUCGUUGUGAUCAUGGUAGGCAGCGUGCGCCUUCAUGGCAUACCACUAGGCAAUUACAUGCUUCGGGCAUCAGCUUGUCGGGCUUCCCAUUCGACCCAUCUUGAAACACAGACCAAGGAGUCUGACAUGUGUGCGAGUCAAUGGGCAAGUAAACCUGUAAGGUGUAAGGAAGCUGACUGGUGGGAUCCCCCUAUGGGUUACACCGUCGACCGACCUUGAUCUUCUGAGAAGGGUUCAAGUGAGAGCAUACCUGUCGGGAUCCGAAAGAUGGUGAACUAUGCUUGAGCGGGGCAAAGCCAGAGGAAACUCUGGUGGAGGCUUGCAGCGAUACUGACGUGCAAAUCAUUUAUCUGACUUGGGUAUAGGGGUGAAAGACUAAUCAAAUCGUCUAGUAGCUGGUUCCCUUUGAAGUUUCCCUCAGGAUAGCCGGAGCCCGUGGGCAAUUUCUAUUGGGUAAAGCCAAUGAUUAGAGGCAUUGGGGGCGUAAUGCCCUCAACCUAUUCUCAAACUUUAAAUAGGUAGGACGGUGUGGCUGCUUCGUUGAGCCAUGGCAUGGAAUUGAGAGAUCGAAGUGGGCCAUUUUUGGAGAGCAAAAUUGGCGAUGCGGGAUGAAUCGAAAGCUGGGUUACAGUGUCAGAUUGUGCGCUAACCUAGAACCCACAAAGGGUUUUGGUCGAUUAAGACAGUAGGACGAUGGUCAUGGAAGUCAAAAUUCGCUAAGGAGUGUGUGAUAACUCACUUACCGAAUCAACUAGCCCCAAAAAUGGAUGGCGCUAAAGUGUGCAACUUAUACCCUACCGUCGGGGCAACUGCUAGGCCUCGAUGAGUAGGAGGGCACAACAGUCAUUGUAAAAUCUGGGCGCAAACCUGAGUGAAUUAGCCGUCGAUGCAGAUCUUGGUGGUAGUAGCAAAUAUUCAAAUGAGAACUUUGAAGGCCGAAGAGGGGAAAGGUUCCAUAUAAACGACACUUGCACAUGGGUUAGUCGAUCCCUAGGGACGGGAGAAGCCCGUUAGAGAGUGUGUAUGCACGCGUGCUCCGAAAGGGAAUCGGGUCAAAAUUUCUGAACCAAGACGUGGCGGCUGAUGACAAUAUUAGGAAGUUCGGAGACAUUGGCGAGAGCCUCAGGAAGAGUUAUCUUUUCUAUUUAACAGCCUACCCACCCCAAAAAUUUCUCAGUCGGAGGUAGCGUCCAGCGGCUAAAAGAGCAGCGCAAGUCGCUUAGUGUUCGGUACGCCACCAGUGGCCCUUAAAAAUUCGAAGGAUGGAGUGCCACCACGCCCGAUCGUACUCAUAAUCACAUCAGUUCUCCAAGGUGAACAACCUUUGGUCGAUGGAACAAUAUAGGUAAGGAAAGUCUGCAAAAUGGAUCCAUAACCUCGAGAAAAGGAUUGGCUCUGAGGGAUGGGCAUAGGGGUCCCAUUCCCACACCCAUCGACUAUUGGUGGACUGCUGGAGCUGCUUCUGUGGUGAGAGUAGGUCACGCAUGCCGGCUGGGGGAUGGAUUGGGAACGGCCCCCUCGUGGGCCUUCCCUGAGUGUCGAACAGUCGACUCAUAAGUGAUAUAGACAAGGGAAAUCCAACUGUUUAAUUAAAACAAAGCAUUGUGAUGGUCCUUGUGGAUGCUCACGCAAUGUGAUUUCUACCUAGUGCUCUAAAUGUCAAAGUGAAGAAAUUCAACCAAGUGCGGGUAAAUGACGGGAGUAACUAUGACUCUCUUAAGGUAGCCAAAUGCCUCAUCAUUUAAUUAGUGACGCACAGGGAUGGAUUAACGAGAUUCCCACUAUCCCUGUCUACUGUCCAGCGAAACCACAGCUAAGGGAACGGGCUUGGCAAAAUCAACGGGGAAAGAAUAUCCUAUUGAGCUUGACUCUAGUCCAACUUUGGGAAAUGACUUGAGAGGUGUAGGAUAAGUGGGAGCCUUCGGACGAAAGUGAAAUAACAUUACUUUUAACGUUAUUUUACUUACUCCAUGAGUCAGAGCCGGGGCUACGCCCCUCCUUUUGGACCUAAGGUCUACCUCGGUAGGCCAAUUCAGGCGGAGGAUAUUGUCAAGUAGGGAGUUUGGCUAGGGUAGCACAUCUGUUAAAAGAUAACGCAGGUGUCUUAAGAUGACCUUAGCUAGAACAAAAAUCUCGUGUGGAACAAAAGGGUAAAGGCUCGUUUGAUUCUGAUUUCGAGUACCAAUACGAAUCGUGAAAGCAUGCCCUAUCGAUCCUUUAGACCUUCAGAAUUUGAAGCUAGAGGUGUCAAAAAAGUUACCAUAGGGAUAACUGGCUCGUAGCAACCAAGCAUUCAUAGCGACAUUGCUUUUUGGUCCUUCGAUGUCGGCUCUUCUUAUCUUUACAAAGCAGAAUUUGCCAAGUAUUGGAUUGUUCACCCACCAAUAGGGAACUUGAGCUAAGUUUAGACCAUUGUGAGAUAGGUUAGUUUUACCCUACUUAUAACAAUGUUGCGAUAGUAAUUCAAUGUAGUACAAGAGGAAUCGUUGAUUCACACAAUUGGUCAUCGCGCUUGGUAGAAAAGCCAGUGGCGUAAAGCUACUGUGUGCUGGAUUAUGACUGAAUGCCUUUAAGUCAGAAUCUAGGCUAAAAAAGUGACGCAUGUGCCCGUUGCCCAUUUAUCGAUCCGUUGUAGGGGCCUCCCUGCUCCCAGAGGCACGUGUCGUUGGCUAAGCUCCCAUGAUGGACGUGUUGCCUUGGGCCGCCUUAAAGCGUAAUUCUUGUCGGGCGAUGGGUAGAAUCCUUUGUAGAUGACUUAAAUAUGCGACAGGGUAUUGUAUGUGGCAAAGUGGCCUUGCUGCCACGAUCCAUUGAGAUUCAGCCCCGUGUUGCAUCAAUUCGU